RNAcentral lists this microRNA precursor (106 nucleotides) under Ixodes scapularis (black-legged tick). Its description in RNAcentral is "miRNA". The record is from RNAcentral. Lineage: Eukaryota; Metazoa; Arthropoda; Arachnida; Ixodida; Ixodidae.
UGGAGAAGCAGGGCACGCUCAGCAGAUGCGGCAGUUUCAAAAAGGAAUGAGAGUGGUCACCUGCGGCUUCCGACUCUGGCCUCCUAUGCUUAUACUCGGUACACGA